RNAcentral lists this ribosomal RNA (429 nucleotides) under Bacteroidota bacterium. RNAcentral's name for it is "Bacteroidetes bacterium partial 16S ribosomal RNA". It matches the Rfam family "Bacterial small subunit ribosomal RNA", at positions 355 to 776 of the family's 1533-position model. The record is from RNAcentral. Lineage: Bacteria; Pseudomonadati; Bacteroidota.
UAGGGAAUCUUCGGCAAUGGGGGGAACCCUGACCGAGCAACGCCGCGUGAGUGAAGAAGGUUUUCGGAUCGUAAAGCUCUGUUGUUAAGGAAGAACGAGUGUGAGAAUGGAAAGUUCAUACUGUGACGGUAUCUAACCAGAAAGCCACGGCUAACUACGUGCCAGCAGCCGCGGUAAUACGUAGGUCCCGAGCGUUGUCCGGAUUUAUUGGGCGUAAAGCGAGCGCAGGCGGUUAGAAAAGUCUGAAGUGAAAGGCAGUGGCUCAACCAUUGUAGGCUUUGGAAACUGUUUAACUUGAGUGCAGAAGGGGAGAGUGGAAUUCCAUGUGUAGCGGUGAAAUGCGUAGAUAUAUGGAGGAACACCGGUGGCGAAAGCGGCUCUCUGGUCUGUAACUGACGCUGAGGCUCGAAAGCGUGGGGAGCGAACAGG